Molecule: ribosomal RNA, 255 nt
Filed under: uncultured bacterium
Lineage: Bacteria
Description: partial 16S ribosomal RNA
Rfam family: Bacterial small subunit ribosomal RNA
Source: RNAcentral
CACGUAGGGUGCGAGCGUUGUCCGGAAUUAUUGGGCGUAAAGAGCUCGUAGGCGGUGUGUCGCGUCGGCCGUGAAAACCUGCAGCUUAACUGUGGGCUUGCGGUCGAUACGGGCAUCACUGGAGUUCGGCAGGGGAGACUGGAAUUCCUGGUGUAGCGGUGAAAUGCGUAGAUAUCUGGAGGAACACCGGUGGCGAAGGCGACAUCCUGGACCGGUAUUGACGCUGAGGCGCGAAAGCCAGGGGAGCAAACGGGG